RNAcentral lists this ribosomal RNA (464 nucleotides) under uncultured bacterium. Its description in RNAcentral is "partial 16S ribosomal RNA". It matches the Rfam family "Bacterial small subunit ribosomal RNA", at positions 28 to 506 of the family's 1533-position model. The record is from RNAcentral.
GACGAACGCUGGCGGCGUGCUUAACACAUGCAAGUCGAACGGAAAGGCCCUGCUUGCAGGGUACUCGAGUGGCGAACGGGUGAGUAACACGUGGGUGAUCUGCCCUGCACUUCGGGAUAAGCCUGGGAAACUGGGUCUAAUACCGGAUAGGAGCCAUUUUUAGUGUGAUGGUUGGAAAGUUUUUUCGGUGUAGGAUGAGCUCGCGGCCUAUCAGCUUGUUGGUGGGGUAAUGGCCUACCAAGGCGGCGACGGGUAGCCGGCCUGAGAGGGUGGACGGCCACAUUGGGACUGAGAUACGGCCCAGACUCCUACGGGAGGCAGCAGUGGGGAAUAUUGCACAAUGGGCGCAAGCCUGAUGCAGCGACGCCGCGUGGGGGAUGACGGCCUUCGGGUUGUAAACUCCUUUCGCUAGGGACGAAGCUUUUUGUGGCGGUACCUAGAUAAGAAACACCGGCUAACUACGU